Cadophora sp. MPI-SDFR-AT-0126 is the source of this 103-nucleotide non-coding RNA. The record is from the annotation of a GenBank genome assembly. NCBI's taxonomy places the organism in Eukaryota, Fungi, Ascomycota, Leotiomycetes, Helotiales, Ploettnerulaceae.
GGGGCUGUGACGCAGUGGUAGCGUGUUCCAUUCGCAUAAUGUUCUACAUCCGAUGUAGAUGAUAAUGUUGGAAAAGUCGUGUGUUCGAAUCAUACCUGCUCCA